RNAcentral lists this ribosomal RNA (253 nucleotides) under uncultured Blastopirellula sp. RNAcentral's name for it is "partial 16S ribosomal RNA". It matches the Rfam family "Bacterial small subunit ribosomal RNA", at positions 524 to 776 of the family's 1533-position model. Lineage: Bacteria; Pseudomonadati; Planctomycetota; Planctomycetia; Pirellulales; Pirellulaceae. The record is from RNAcentral.
CACGAACCGUACGAACGUUACUCGGAAUUACUGGGCUUAAAGGGUGCGUAGGCGGCUUGGUAAGUUGGGUGUGAAAGCCCUCGGCUCAACCGAGGAAUUGCGCUCAAAACUGCCGAGCUUGAGGGAGACAGAGGUGAGCGGAACUUAGGGUGGAGCGGUGAAAUGCGUUGAUAUCCUAAGGAACACCAGGGGCGAAAGCGGCUCACUGGGUCUCUUCUGACGCUGAGGCACGAAAGCUGGGGGAGCGAACGGG